ACUGAACAUUGAGCCUUGAUGUGUAGGAUAGGUGGGAGGCUUUGAAGUGUGGACGCCAGUCUGCAUGGAGCCGACCUUGAAAUACCACCCUUUAAUGUUUGAUGUUCUAACGUGGACCCGUAAUCCGGGUUGCGGACAGUGUCUGGUGGGUAGUUUGACUGGGGCGGUCUCCUCCUAAAGAGUAACGGAGGAGCACGAAGGUUGGCUAAUCCUGGUCGGACAUCAGGAGGUUAGUGCAAUGGCAUAAGCCAGCUUGACUGCGAGCGUGACGGCGCGAGCAGGUGCGAAAGCAGGUCAUAGUGAUCCGGUGGUUCUGAAUGGAAGGGCCAUCGCUCAACGGAUAAAAGGUACUCCGGGGAUAACAGGCUGAUACCGCCCAAGAGUUCAUAUCGACGGCGGUGUUUGGCACCUCGAUGUCGGCUCAUCACAUCCUGGGGCUGAAGUAGGUCCCAAGGGUAUGGCUGUUCGCCAUUUAAAGUGGUACGCGAGCUGGGUUUAGAACGUCGUGAGACAGUUCGGUCCCUAUCUGCCGUGGGCGCUGGAGAAUUGAGGGGGGCUGCUCCUAGUACGAGAGGACCGGAGUGGACGCAUCACUGGUGUUCGGGUUGUCAUGCCAAUGGCACUGCCCGGUAGCUAAAUGCGGAAGAGAUAAGUGCUGAAAGCAUCUAAGCACGAAACUUGCCCCGAGAUGAGUUCUCCCUGACUCCUUGAGAGUCCUGAAGGAACGUUGAAGACGACGACGUUGAUAGGCCGGGUGUGUAAGCGCAGCGAUGCGUUGAGCUAACCGGUACUAAUGAACCGUGAGG
This 806-nucleotide ribosomal RNA is filed under the name Escherichia coli. RNAcentral describes it as "partial 23S ribosomal RNA". It matches the Rfam family "Bacterial large subunit ribosomal RNA", at positions 2116 to 2916 of the family's 2925-position model. The record is from RNAcentral. Lineage: Bacteria; Pseudomonadati; Pseudomonadota; Gammaproteobacteria; Enterobacterales; Enterobacteriaceae.